GCAUUGGAAGAUAAAAACCCAAAAACCCAAUAUCUUGCUCACACCAUGUGUUGAUGCACUUUGAAUAAAAACCCAAAAUCUUGUUGUGUCAAGUCAUGUGGAAUGGAGUCCCACAUUCUGGACUCCCACACCUUCUAUUGAUUCAAGCUCACCCAGACCCGGGUUAAGAGCUAUGAGGCAUAACCCUCAUCUCCAUUUCAUCUGCUC
RNAcentral lists this long non-coding RNA (207 nucleotides) under Lathyrus oleraceus (garden pea). RNAcentral's name for it is "Pisum sativum (pea) long non-coding RNA (PSAT_LNC002643)". Lineage: Eukaryota; Viridiplantae; Streptophyta; Magnoliopsida; Fabales; Fabaceae. The record is from RNAcentral.